RNAcentral lists this transfer RNA (84 nucleotides) under Nanoarchaeum equitans Kin4-M. RNAcentral's name for it is "tRNA-Leu (GAG) (tRNA-Leu-GAG-1-1)". It matches the Rfam family "tRNA". Rfam says of the family: Transfer RNA (tRNA) molecules are approximately 80 nucleotides in length. Their secondary structure includes four short double-helical elements and three loops (D, anti-codon, and T loops). Further hydrogen bonds mediate the characteristic L-shaped molecular structure. tRNAs have two regions of fundamental functional importance: the anti-codon, which is responsible for specific mRNA codon recognition, and the 3' end, to which the tRNAs corresponding amino acid is attached (by aminoacyl-tRNA synthetases). tRNAs cope with the degeneracy of the genetic code in two manners: having more than one tRNA (with a specific anti-codon) for a particular amino acid; and 'wobble' base-pairing, i.e. permitting non-standard base-pairing at the 3rd anti-codon position. The record is from RNAcentral. Lineage: Archaea; Nanobdellati; Nanobdellota; Candidatus Nanoarchaeia; Nanoarchaeales; Nanoarchaeaceae.
GCGGCCGUGCCCGAGCGGACAAAGGGGCCAGGUUGAGGUCCUGGUGGGGUAGUCCCUGCCGGGGUUCGAAUCCCCGCGGCCGCA